Molecule: non-coding RNA, 175 nt
Filed under: Alkalihalophilus pseudofirmus
Lineage: Bacteria; Bacillati; Bacillota; Bacilli; Caryophanales; Bacillaceae
Also listed under: 1 other name
Description: Bacillus pseudofirmus Lysine sequence
Rfam family: Lysine riboswitch aptamer
About the family: Riboswitches are metabolite binding domains within certain messenger RNAs that serve as precision sensors for their corresponding targets. Allosteric rearrangement of mRNA structure is mediated by ligand binding, and this results in modulation of gene expression. This family includes riboswitches that sense lysine in a number of genes involved in lysine metabolism, including lysC.
Source: RNAcentral
UAAUGGGGUAGAGGCGCAAAACGAAUGAGUACAAUUGGGGAGCUGAUGGCUGGCUUAGAACCAAAUGGAAAGGUCAAUUUGCCGAAGCGCUUAUUUUGCCAUGAAAUAAGUGCUGGGUCGUUUGUGAACAAUGAACGAACUGUCACUACAUUCGUAGUGGAGGACUAUUCUAGAA